RNAcentral lists this ribosomal RNA (1349 nucleotides) under metagenome. RNAcentral describes it as "bacterial LSU rRNA". It matches the Rfam family "Bacterial large subunit ribosomal RNA", at positions 1568 to 2925 of the family's 2925-position model. The record is from RNAcentral.
ACGUUCUUAUCUUUAUGAUAAGAAUCAGUAGGCUGUCAUACUUCCAAGAAAAGCUCGAACUACUGUAACACAUCAAGUACCUGUACCGUAAACCGACACAGGUGGGUUGGUAGAGUAUACCAAGGGGCGCGACAUAACUCUCUCUAAGGAACUCGGCAAAAUGACCCCGUAACUUCGGGAGAAGGGGUGCCAAGUAACUCAAAUUGCUUGGUCGCAGUGACCAGGCCCUGGCGACUGUUUAUCAAAAACACAGGUCUCCGCAAAGUCGUAAGACAACAUAUGGGGGCUGACGCCUGCCCAGUGCCGGAAGGUUAAAGAAGUUGGUUAUUCAUUCGUGGAGAAGCUGACGACUGAAGCCCCGGUGAACGGCGGCCGUAACUAUAACGGUCCUAAGGUAGCGAAAUUCCUUGUCGGGUAAGUUCCGACCCGCACGAAAGGCGUAACGAUCAGGGCACUGUCUCGGAGAGAGACUCGGUGAAAUAGACAUGUCUGUGAAGAUGCGGACUACCUGCACCUGGACAGAAAGACCCUAUGAAGCUUGACUGUAGCUUGGAAUUGGGUUCGGGCUCUUCUUGCGCAGCCUAGGUGGGAGGCGUUGAAGGUUUUCUCUUGGGAAAACUGGAGCCAACAGUGAGAGACCACUCUGGAGGAGCUAGAAUUCUAAUGGCGUUCCGUGAAGCCGGACGCUUGACAGUUUCAGGUGGGCAGUUUGACUGGGGCGGUCACCUCCUAAAAGGUAACGGAGGUGUGCAAAGGUUCCCUCAGGCUGGACGGAAAUCAGCCGUAGAGUGUAAAGGCAGAAGGGAGCUUGACUGCAAGACCUACAAGUCGAGCAGGGGCGAAAGCCGGCCUUAGUGAUCCGACGGUUCCAUGUGGAAGGGCCGUCGCUCAACGGAUAAAAGUUACUCUAGGAUAACAGGCUGAUCUUCCCCAAGAGUUCACAUCGACGGGAAGGUUUGGCACCUCGAUGUCGGCUCAUCGCAACCUGGGGCGGUAGUACGUCCCAAGGGUUGGGCUGUUCGCCCAUGAAAGCGGUACGUGAGCUGGGUUCAGAACGUCGUGAGACAGUUCGGUCCAUAUCCGGUGUAGGCGUUAGAGCAUUGAGAGGAGCCUUCCAUAGUACGAGAGGACCUGGAAGGACGCACCUCAGGUAUACCAGUUAUCAUGCCAAUGGUACACGCUGGGUAGCCAUGUGCGGAGUGGAUAACCGCUGAAAUCAUCUAAGUGGGAAGCCCACCUCAAGAUGAGUGCUCUCCAUCAGGUCACAGGAAGACUACCUGUUUGAUAGGCAGAAGGUGUAAGGCUAGUAAUAGUUUCAGCUGAUCUGUACUAAUAGACCGAUCGAUUUU